CGCAGAGAGUCAGACACCACUGAGUGGAGUAGCUAGUCUCAAAGUCCCCAGUACAAAGCCCUGGGCCCUGGGCCUCCACCUGGCUCCAGGCCGCGCUGUCUCUGGGCGGGCCCUCUGCAGGUGGAGCGGGGCGCUGCUGGCAUCUGUCUGGCCUGGAGCCGGGCUGGGCGGGUCGCCGGCAGGAAUCCCAGGAACGCAGCGCCUGUUUCCACAACCGGGCCCCACCUGUUCCAGUCCGCAAAUGGUCUGCACACCCGCUGCCCUCGCCUCUUGGCCCGGGGAGCUCCCCCUGCGGAGAGAGGUUCCCAGCCAGUGAGAAAGAAGCGGCUCCUGUGACAGGAGAGAUGGCAAUCAGAGACCUAAAGAGCCGGGGGAGUUUUUUCAGAGGCUUUAGAAUGAGGAAGACGGAGGUUCAGAGAGUCCCAAGGCCAAAGUGGACGGCAGAGCUGGGACUUGACCUGCCCUCGGCCUGGAGUCCACGGCGUGUCCCUCUUCCCCGCGCAGAUUCGAUCUCCCCAUAGCUGGACCCACAGUCACCCUGCGGCCAGCCCCACUGCGAGGCUCCUGUCUCAGGCUUCUCCCGCGUCCCCCUACAAGGCGCCAGCGAUCCAGUUCCCACAGCCGCCGUGAGCCCUUGGCUGCAAGCUUGGGUCGCGGCCAAGGUUCCAUGUCUGCAGAUUGCUUCUGUGGGCUAAGAUCCAGGAGCCCAGUUGGGUCGCAAGAUGGGAACCUUCUCGGUGGGACAUGUAACCCAGGAGAAGGGUGCCCUUCAUGUGGGAUGGACUGGUUUGAUCUCCCUGCUGUCCAAGGGACUCUCAUGAGUCUUCUCCAGAGUACACUGCUUCCUGGAACAUUCUGUAGACUCCAAAGGACUGAGUAGGAGACUGACGCACAGUUCAGCUGCUGCUGCUGCUAAGUCGCUUCAGUCGUGCCCGACUCUGUGCGACCCCAUAGACGGCAGCCCACCAGACUCCCCCGUCCCUGGGAUUCUCCAGGCAAGAACACUGGAGUGGGCUGCCAUUUCCUUCUCCAAUGCAUGAAAGUGAAAAGUGAAAGUGAAGUCGCUCAGUCAUGUCCAACCCUCAGCGACCCCAUGGACUGCAACCCACCAGGCUCCUCCUUCCAUGGGAUUUUCCAGGCAAGAGUACUGGAGUGGGGUGCCAUCGCCUUCUCUGACAGUUCAGCUAGGCCACUGCGAACAUCUCUCCCUCCAUGCAGCCCAUUCCCUGGCCCCCUCUCACCCACCAGCACCCCUGAAACGGACCCAUGUAUCCUGUGCUGCCAGGAGCCUUGGACGUGAAGCUGGCCCCAUAGGGCCCCGGCUCUGAGGAGCUCUCCAGGCCAGACCCACAGGUCACUGGUCCCAGAACGUGGUUCCGGAUUCUAGAAUAGGCUUCUCGUGGGUUGGUGGAAAGUCAAGGAGGCCUUUCCAGAUGGUGUAGGACCAGAGAUACCCAAGGGCAGGGGCUGCCCUCCAACCAGGACGCAGGCUUGGGAGCCAGGGGGCAACGGGCAGGGUGUGGCGAACAGGCCACAUAAACAAAGGCCGGUGUCGUGGAGGCGCAAAUGGCCGACGCUGGAGCAGUGAGUAGGGCCCAGCCGCAAGCUCUGGAGAGCUGGGGCCUAGGAGGCAGAAGGGGACAAGCUCAGAGCCUCCUGCAGCUCAAGGCAGGGAGGCCAGCCUGCAGCCCUCACACCUGGGGUCACUCCAGGUCCGCAGAAGAUCCAGAGGACAAAAGGAUGACAGAAACCACGCCUCCGGGGGCAGCAGCGGGGAUGGGGCUGAGAGCAGGGCUCCAGGCUCAGGCCGUGGC
This is a long non-coding RNA of Ovis aries (sheep), 1814 nucleotides long. The record is from Ensembl. Lineage: Eukaryota; Metazoa; Chordata; Mammalia; Artiodactyla; Bovidae.